Molecule: ribosomal RNA, 253 nt
Filed under: uncultured bacterium
Lineage: Bacteria
Description: partial 16S ribosomal RNA
Rfam family: Bacterial small subunit ribosomal RNA
Source: RNAcentral
GACGUAGGAGGCGAGCGUUGUCCGGAAUUAUUGGGCGUAAAGGGCUCGUAGGCGGUUUGUCGCGUCGGGAGUGAAAUCAUCUGGCUUAACUGGGUGCUUGCUUUCGAUACGGGCAGACUAGAGGUAUGCAGGGGAGAACGGAAUUCCUGGUGUAGCGGUGAAAUGCGCAGAUAUCAGGAGGAACACCGGUGGCGAAGGCGGUUCUCUGGGCAUGAUCUGACGCUGAGGAGCGAAAGUGUGGGGAGCGAACAGG